RNAcentral lists this ribosomal RNA (1343 nucleotides) under uncultured bacterium. Its description in RNAcentral is "16S ribosomal RNA". It matches the Rfam family "Bacterial small subunit ribosomal RNA", at positions 28 to 1378 of the family's 1533-position model. The record is from RNAcentral.
GACGAACGCUGGCGGCGUGCUUAACACAUGCAAGUCGAACGGAAAGGCCCUGCUUUUGUGGGGUGCUCGAGUGGCGAACGGGUGAGUAACACGUGAGUAACCUGCCCUUGACUUUGGGACAACUUCAGGAAACUGGGGCUAAUACCGGAUAGGAGCUCCUGCUGCAUGGUGGGGGUUGGAAAGUUUCGGCGGUUGGGGAUGGACUCGCGGCUUAUCAGCUUGUUGGUGGGGUAGUGGCUUACCAAGGCUUUGACGGGUAGCCGGCCUGAGAGGGUGACCGGCCACAUUGGGACUGAGAUACGGCCCAGACUCCUACGGGAGGCAGCAGUGGGGAAUAUUGCACAAUGGGCGGAAGCCUGAUGCAGCAACGCCGCGUGCGGGAUGACGGCCUUCGGGUUGUAAACCGCUUUCGCCUGUGACGAAGCGUGAGUGACGGUAAUGGGUAAAGAAGCACCGGCUAACUACGUGCCAGCAGCCGCGGUGAUACGUAGGGUGCGAGCGUUGUCCGGAUUUAUUGGGCGUAAAGGGCUCGUAGGUGGUUGAUCGCGUCGGAAGUGUAAUCUUGGGGCUUAACCCUGAGCGUGCUUUCGAUACGGGUUGACUUGAGGAAGGUAGGGGAGAAUGGAAUUCCUGGUGGAGCGGUGGAAUGCGCAGAUAUCAGGAGGAACACCAGUGGCGAAGGCGGUUCUCUGGGCCUUUCCUGACGCUGAGGAGCGAAAGCGUGGGGAGCGAACAGGCUUAGAUACCCUGGUAGUCCACGCUGUAAACGGUGGGUACUAGGUGUGGGGUCCAUUCCACGGGUUCCGUGCCGUAGCUAACGCUUUAAGUACCCCGCCUGGGGAGUACGGCCGCAAGGCUAAAACUCAAAGGAAUUGACGGGGCCCCGCACAAGCGGCGGAGCAUGCGGAUUAGUUCGAUGCAACGCGUAGAACCUUACCUGGGUUUGACAUGGAUCGGGAGUGCUCAGAGAUGGGUGUGCCUCUUUUGGGGUCGGUUCACAGGUGGUGCAUGGCUGUCGUCAGCUCGUGUCGUGAGAUGUUGGGUUAAGUCCCGCAACGAGCGCAACCCUUGUUCACUGUUGCCAGCACGUUAUGGUGGGGACUCAGUGGAGACCGCCGGGGUCAACUCGGAGGAAGGUGGGGAUGACGUCAAGUCAUCAUGCCCCUUAUGUCCAGGGCUUCACGCAUGCUACAAUGGCUGGUACAGAGAGUGGCGAGCCUGUGAGGGUGAGCGAAUCUCGGAAAGCCGGUCUCAGUUCGGAUUGGGGUCUGCAACUCGACCUCAUGAAGUCGGAGUCGCUAGUAAUCGCAGAUCAGCAACGCUGCGAUGAAUACGUUCCCGGG